Long non-coding RNA from Portunus trituberculatus (swimming crab), 1838 nucleotides. RefSeq lists it as uncharacterized. The record is from RefSeq and is a predicted model, not a curated record. NCBI's taxonomy places the organism in Eukaryota, Metazoa, Arthropoda, Malacostraca, Decapoda, Portunidae. The transcript has 4 exons.
UAGUGGCGGUGGGCGGUGGUGCACGGCUGGUGACAGGCCACGGCUGUCUGUAUGCGUGCUGGUGCAAGCUUGCUGCCUGGCAGCUGGGAAGGUUGUUGCUUGUGAUAAUUCCGUGUCGUCCACAACAGUUAAGGACUUUCAAAUGACGCUAGUGAAAGAAAGAGAGUGAGAGUGAAGAAAACUUUUAUGUGGGACAGAGACUCGGAGUGUGGUUGAGAGAGAGAGAGAGAAAUGAAGGGUGAAUAGAAGUGGGUAUCCUGUCAUUUAAAUACCUGGACCAAGCUGCUGUCUUCCGCUUAAAUCUUGGACCAAGCUGCUGCCUUCCACUCGGAUCCUGGACCACCAUGCCUUUCACUUAGAUCUCAGACCAAGCUGCCUUCCACUUAUGGCUUUUUGAUGUUCAGCUGCACACUAACCUUCAGAGACACCUAUGGCAAGUCCAAGACAGAGAAGAGAAGAUGGAUAAUGCUUUUUGAUGUUCAGCUGCACACUAACCUUCAGAGACACCUAUGGCAAGUCCAAGACAGAGAAGAGAAGAUGGAUAAUGUAAUAAUCACAACAUAAUUGGUUGAUUUUUUUUUUAGUGUUUGUGUGUGUGAAACAUGUUGACAGCGUAUAUUAUUUCAAUCCACUCAGCAUAUUUAUAGAUUUCAUGACCCUUUGCGUUCACGAAGUAAUUUGAUUUUAUAUACAUCUUUACUUAGCCAGCAGUAAAAGUUUAUGGAAAUUAUAAUUUAUAAGAGUUACUUAUAAGAGAUUUUGUAUUAUAAAGAUUAGUUGAAAGUUCUCAGCAUAGCCUUGGUUUAUCACCACCAUCUAGUUCAGUGAGUCUUUGCUAGCCUGCUCAAUAUAUGUAAUUUGUCAGUCAUUCACUUUGCUGAUGGUGUCAGUUCAAAGCCUCCCUGCCAGACCUUUAUUACUUGAGCCAUCUCUCCCAUCUCAGUCACACACCCAUCUCUUUGUUCCCUUCACUGCAUUGCAAGCCUUUCACUUUGUGUUUACUGGUGCAAACUGUACUUCCUUCAGAGGGAAUUUCAGUCAUCACUGCAAGGUCUUUGUGCAGCUGUUGUAAUGAAAUUGUGGUAGUUAUUCCUUAAUAUAAAUACCACAUUUAGAAAGAAACUUUGUAUUAUUAGUUUAAAGCACAUAUAUAGCCAGCAUCUCAACUUUUUAGAACUGAUUGCAGUUGUGUUCUGCAUUAGACUCCAGAAUGACCGUGUUUUUAAAUGUAAUUGUAAUGUUUAUGAUGACAGGCAACACGCUGUUUGCUCUCCAUGUCCAUGUAAAAUGCUCCUAAAUUGUACCAAGUUGAAACUUUUAUCAAUUUUUGUAAUUGAUAUUGUCAACGUUCAAAAAACUAAAUUUUAUAUUUUUCUAGUAAGUAUUGUCAGCUUGUCAGCAUUCAGUUGCAAAAAACUGUAUAAAUUUUAUAUUUUUCUAGUAAGUAUUGUCAGCAUUCAAAAAUUUAAAUUGUCAGCAUUCAAAAAAUUUUACUAAGUUGAAAGUUUCGUAGACUUAUAAAUUUUUCAAACGAGUAUUAGCAUUCAAAAAAAUUUUUUUUUUAAUUGAUUUUGUCAUUAAAAAAACUAAAUUUUAUAUUUAUUCUAGUAAGUAUUGUCAACAUUAUAAAUUUUAUAUUUUUCUAGUAAGUAUUGUCAGCAUUCAAAAAAUUUUAGUAAGUUUAAAUUUUAUAUUUUUCUAGUAAGUAUUGUCAGCAUUCAAAAAAUUUUAGUAAGUUGAAAGUUUCAUAGACUUUAUAAGUUUUUAAAAUGAGAAUUAUCCCUGGAUUUAAGAUGUAAUGUAAUGACAAAUUACUAAAUAAAGGGAAGGGAGAGAGA